Molecule: long non-coding RNA, 1576 nt
Organism: Lagenorhynchus albirostris (white-beaked dolphin)
Lineage: Eukaryota; Metazoa; Chordata; Mammalia; Artiodactyla; Delphinidae
Exons: 3
Source: RefSeq, a predicted model, not a curated record
GGUCAAUUUGUUUAUGAAGACAAGCUAUAAUCAAGUAGCUGGGUGUAAGGUGGGGUUUUCCCCCUUUCCAAGCUGCACGAACUCCAGCCACCCCUAGGAGGAGACAACGUAUCACACACCCCAAACGAGUAGGCAGCAAGUGCCAGAAAGAACUUUAGAGCUGGUUUGUGGCCUGGAUGAUGCAAACAAGUCUCAGGUUCGUGGCCUCUGACCUGAAUUUGGAUUCACAUAAACACACUGACACACGUGAGAUGACUGGGCCGUUCUGGCUUGAGUUUAUUUUCUCUAAUUUUGUGCUCAACGGAAAUAGCCAACAUGAGAUCAUCUUCCAGGGGCUUCAUCUACUUAAAGCAAAAGUACUAAGUCACUAGUCAUCUUUUUCCUAGUAUUGAGAGCUCAGUCUCCUUUUUUCUCUACUUCCUUUCCUCUGAGUAUCAUCAGUAAGUUAUCUACAGCUUUCAGACCCCAACCAUGUGUGGUGCACAAGGAAGAGGGGUCAGAACGUGUGUGUGGGACCAUUACUCACUUUGCUUUAGAGAUGAAUUUGUAAGUGUCAUUCCAGUAAGCCAGGAGAUCCGUUGCCUCUUCAUCAUAUACCCGAAUGUUGUGAUACUCAAAGACUCCUGGGAAGAAGUUAUCUAUCUCUCGAGUGACAUUCAAGAUAUAUCGUACCCUGUGAGGAAACCAAGGGAGAUUAUGAGCCCUACUACUCAGGCGAAAUCCAAUUCCCAGCACUGGAAUUUUUCUUAUUUAAAACUUGCUUACUUCUGGGCUUCCCUGGUGGUGCAGUGGUUAAGAACCUGCCUGCCAAGGCAGGGGACACGGGUUUGAGCCCUGGUCUGAGCCCGCAUGCCGCGGAGCAACUAAGCCCAUGCGCCACAACUACUGAGCCUGCGCUCUAGAGCCCACAAGCCACAACUACUGAGCCCGAGUGCUGCAACUACUGAAGCCCACGUGCCUAGAGCCCGUGCUCCACAAGAGAAGCCACCGCAAUGAGAAGCCCACGCACCGCAACCAAGAGUAGCCCCCGCUCACCACAACUAGAGAAAGCCCGUGCACAGCAACGAAGACCCAAUGCAGCCAAAAAUGAAAAUAAAUAAAUAAAAAACAAACUUGUUUAUUCCUGAGGCUGAAAUUAAAUACUAAAAUAUUGAAGAAAGCUAAAAAAAAAAAACCCUAAGAGGCUAUCCUUAUUUAAUACAGAAAUUGUAUAACAGGGUCCUGCACAUACCUGGGUAUCAGGGAGUUACUGAGAGAAAAGCUGUCUACCAAGUUCAACAUCUAUAUUCCAUUUUCAGUUUGUGUUUAGUUAUACAAUCUCAUCUUUCAGAGUCUUUUGAAAAUAUGCCUUGCAUUUUACUCCAAAGAAUCAACUUGAGGCCCAUGAUCUGACAAUUUCUCUGCAGUCACUAAAAUUACCAGCAACAAAAUUUUUUGGAAGUCAUCUGUAUUAAAUCAGACUAUUAAUAUGUACCUUAAGAAAAAAAAAUAGAAGGAAACAUUCCCUCCUAUCUUUCUAAAUGCCAGGUUGUCAGUUUUUGCUCUAUUACUCUCCUUAAACUACAUGAAGGCAAGU